GACGAACGCUGGCGGCGUGCCUAAUACAUGCAAGUAGAACGCUGAAGGAGGAGCUUGCUUCUCUGGAUGAGUUGCGAACGGGUGAGUAACGCGUAGGUAACCUGCCUGGUAGCGGGGGAUAACUAUUGGAAACGAUAGCUAAUACCGCAUAAUAGUAGAUGUUGCAUGACAUUUGCUUAAAAGGUGCAAUUGCAUCACUACCAGAUGGACCUGCGUUGUAUUAGCUAGUUGGUGGGGUAACGGCUCACCAAGGCGACGAUACAUAGCCGACCUGAGAGGGGGAUCGGCCACACUGGGACUGAGACACGGCCCAGACUCCUACGGGAGGCAGCAGUAGGGAAUCUUCGGCAAUGGACGGAAGUCUGACCGAGCAACGCCGCGUGAGUGAAGAAGGUUUUCGGAUCGUAAAGCUCUGUUGUAAGAGAAGAACGAGUGUGAGAGUGGAAAGUUCACACUGUGACGGUAUCUUACCAGAAAGAGACGGCUAACUACGUG
This 495-nucleotide ribosomal RNA is filed under the name uncultured bacterium. RNAcentral's name for it is "partial 16S ribosomal RNA". It matches the Rfam family "Bacterial small subunit ribosomal RNA", at positions 28 to 507 of the family's 1533-position model. The record is from RNAcentral.